Long non-coding RNA from Apis dorsata (giant honeybee), 355 nucleotides. RefSeq lists it as uncharacterized. The transcript has 3 exons. NCBI's taxonomy places the organism in Eukaryota, Metazoa, Arthropoda, Insecta, Hymenoptera, Apidae. The record is from RefSeq and is a predicted model, not a curated record.
AUAAACUCCGAGAUGGGAGUCCCAGAAGGGAAUGGAAAGGUUGGGUCGGGGAAAAGGAAAGGAAGGAGAUUCCCACCAGUUUGAGCAAUUAACCGGGCGGACGCAUCCCCCUAUCUGUGGACCAACGUAUCGCUUUCGAACCCUCGGUGGGCGAGCGGCUAUUUACACAAGAAUAACGCGCUUUAUGGGAUUACGUCAAAACACGGAGGUUAGGAAUCAUGGGCGCAACGAUCGCACAAUGAAACGUAGAAAUAAAGAAGAAAACCGUGAAGGGAUCGAUAAGAGGCGGUAGAGGGGGGGAGGGUUUAGUUUAGCGGAAAGGGCGAGGGUAGAGAGGGAGAAGGUGGAGGCAGCG